GACGAACGCUGGCGGCGUGCUUAACACAUGCAAGUCGAACGUGAUUUUUGUGGAAAUUCUUUCGGGAAUGGAAAUGAAAUGAAAGUGGCGAACGGGUGAGUAACACGUGAGCAACCUACCUUACACAGGGGGAUAGCCGUUGGAAACGACGAUUAAUACCGCAUGAGACCACAGAAUCGCAUGAUAUAGGGGUCAAAGAUUUAUCGGUGUAAGAAGGGCUCGCGUCUGAUUAGCUAGUUGGAAGGGUAAAGGCCUACCAAGGCGACGAUCAGUAGCCGGUCUGAGAGGAUGAACGGCCACAUUGGAACUGAGACACGGUCCAAACUCCUACGGGAGGCAGCAGUGGGGAAUAUUGCACAAUGGGGGGAACCCUGAUGCAGCGACGCCGCGUGAGCGAAGAAGGUUUUCGAAUCGUAAAGCUCUGUCCUAUGAGAAGAUAAUGACGGUAUCAUAGGAGGAAGCCCCGGCUAAAUACGUGCCAGCAGCCGCGGUAAUACGUAUGGGGCGAGCGUUGUCCGGAAUUAUUGGGCGUAAAGGGUACGUAGGCGGUUUUUUAAGUCAGGUGUGAAAGCGUGAGGCUUAACCUCAUUAAGCACUUGAAACUGGAAGACUUGAGUGAAGGAGAGGAAAGUGGAAUUCCUAGUGUAGCGGUGAAAUGCGUAGAUAUUAGGAGGAAUACCGGUGGCGAAGGCGACUUUCUGGAC
This 704-nucleotide ribosomal RNA is filed under the name uncultured Clostridium sp. Its description in RNAcentral is "bacterial SSU rRNA". It matches the Rfam family "Bacterial small subunit ribosomal RNA", at positions 28 to 734 of the family's 1533-position model. Lineage: Bacteria; Bacillati; Bacillota; Clostridia; Eubacteriales; Clostridiaceae. The record is from RNAcentral.